AGGCAGCUGUCUGCUGAAGAUAUGACUGUGAUUCAGUGUUCCGCGGCAGUACAAUCACCCCCUCUCCCCCACCAUCCAAAAUCACCCUCCAAUGCGGUCUCGGCUACAACCUUGGUUUCUUCUUCUUCUUCUUCUUCUUCAUCUUCAUCUUCAUCUUCGCCAAAAACAAGUAGAAGAGCAGCUCUAUCUCUCUCUCUAUUCUCCACUGCUUUCCCAACACUUGUUUUCUCGUCUUCUGCUGCUUCUUCUUCAAAGUCCGCUGCAUUGGAGUUCUCCGAGCUCCCCAAUUCAGGCGGCGUUAAGGUAUUGGACCUCCGCUUUGGUUCCGGAGAUGUACCGCGGGAUGGCGACCAGGUCAUUAUUCUCUAAUAACGCUAAUUAUACAUUUCAUAUUGAAUUUAAACCUCUUACAUAAUAUUGAUUCAGUUUUUCUCGCAUUCUAAGGCUCCGAUUGAAGUGAUAGAAAAUAUUGAAAUCUUCUAAAUCCGCUGCCGAAGUGAUAAGAAAUUUUUGUUGCGACUCAUCACUCUAACAACUAACUUCGUGCUGUGUUACCUUAAAUCUUAAAAUGUAAGAUUUGUGUGGUAAAAUGGUAAGGAAAAUUGUGAAAUUGACAAGGGGCAGGAAGUGGAUACAAUCAGUGAGACUGCUACAGAACUUUCUAGUGCCGACUUUAGCCAAUGUCAGGUAGCAAUUUACAAUAAAAAAGAAUAAUAAUAUUAAUUCACCAAAUACCGUCCUUCUCACCGUGAUUAUUUACCUUACAUGUAUACAUGUAGUUACAAGCUCAUUGAUCUGUUUUUAUCUGGCUCCUGCAUGAGGGACAUGGCUUUCAAUGUGUUUUGGAACUGUGGCUCUAUGUAACUUACAAUGGUGCACUUAAUUGACAAGUAAAUCAGUAUGUGUAUUCGGACUCAUGACUAUUGCAGCCUAUGACCAAAACCAUUGGAUGAUGACUGCUAUAUAUUUUUUCAUACCUCCAACAACGGAAGUCUUGCAUUUUGCAGCAUUUUUUAGAUAGUAUGAUAUGCAAGAGGUAGAGUAUUUAUCUUUAUGACUUCAGAUAUAUCUUCUGUAAAAUCGAGAAUUAGGAUAUGGCAGACCAUCCAUUAAUCCAUCAAUUUUUGAGUUUGAAUGUGAAGGUUGCAGUCCAUUACUAUGGAAGAUUGGCAGCAAAACAAGGUUGGCGCUUUGAUUCAACAUAUGAUCACAAAGAUGAAAAUGGUGAACCAAUUCCAUUUGUGUUUUUCCUUGGCUCUGGGAAAGGAUAGAAGCAGCUGUGAGAUCAAUGAAAGUAGGUGGUAUUCGUAGAGUCGUCAUCCCUCCAUCCCAAGGGUAUCAGAGCACCUCACAGGAGCCGAUACCACCUAAUUAUUUUGACAGGCAGAGGCUGUUUACUACCAUUUUCAAUCCAACUCGUCUUGCCAAUGGAGAAGGCUCAACAUUGGGGACUCUCAUAUUUGAUAUUGAGUUGGUCAGUCUAAGGCAUCAGUGAAGUAGAAUACUGUAAACAGCUUUGCUUUUUACAGCGCUAGCUUAUUAUAAAUGUUGUUCUACAUGAUUGGAAAUCAGACUUGUGACAGCCUCUAGGCUCUAGGUAUAAUAUUUUCUCAUAAAGGUUAGGGACACAACCCCAUGUACAAGGGUCCGUGUCCCUAGCAAGACUCAUAUUUUGUCGAAACUGCAAUGUACAGACUGAUUGGCAACGUCCAAAUACCAAAAUGGAUUGUUUAUAGUUUAUUCCACUAUGAUGGGAUAUGAUUUUGGGGGUGAUUUUUUACUUACCAAAAUGUUCUUUUCUACAAGACUUAUCACAAGUACAUUGGCGCGCGAGAAUGCAGGGUUGUUUCAGGCUUCGGGGGUCCAAUAUGAGGGCAUCAUAUAUCACUUGGUGCCAGACAGACAUCUUAUCUGUUCUUACAAGAGACAAUGUAACGUGCAGAAAUCUUGUUGCAAGGACCACUUCCUCCAAACUUUCUGGGUCGGAGUUCCCUCGAGGGUAUGCCUUCUCAUUUCCAUUAAUUCCAUUUCAAAAACCGUGAGUAGAGAUUGAUGGUUUGAAAUUUGUCAAUAUGAUAAAUAAUGCUACUUACCAUUUUGUGAUGUGCCGUUAAAUGAUUGAAGAUGA
This is an RNA transcript of Juglans regia (Persian walnut), 2128 nucleotides long. It is a transcript of the gene named peptidyl-prolyl cis-trans isomerase FKBP17-1, chloroplastic, with no coding region annotated. The record is from RefSeq and is a predicted model, not a curated record. The transcript has 4 exons. Lineage: Eukaryota; Viridiplantae; Streptophyta; Magnoliopsida; Fagales; Juglandaceae.